RNAcentral lists this ribosomal RNA (774 nucleotides) under uncultured Neocallimastigales. RNAcentral describes it as "partial large subunit ribosomal RNA". It matches the Rfam family "Eukaryotic large subunit ribosomal RNA", at positions 26 to 644 of the family's 3401-position model. Lineage: Eukaryota; Fungi; Neocallimastigomycota; Neocallimastigomycetes; Neocallimastigales. The record is from RNAcentral.
CGUCUAUAUACGUAUAGCAUAUCAAUAAGCGGAGGAAAAGAAACUAACAAGGAUUCCCUUAGUAACGGCGAGUGAAGCGGGAAGAGCUCAAAUUUGAAAUCUUCAAGGUUCUACCUUGACGAAUUGUAGUUUAAAGAAGUGUUUUCUGUUAGAUGAGUAGCAAAAGUUCCUUGGAAUGGGACAUCAUAGAGGGUGAGAAUCCCGUAUUUGGUUAUUCAUUCUAGCUUUGUGAUACACUUUCAAAGAGUCGGAUUGUUUGGGAAUGCAGUCCAAAAUGGGUGGUAAAUUUCAUCUAAAGCUAAAUAUUGGCGAGAGACCGAUAGCGAACAAGUACCGUGAGGGAAAGAUGAAAAGAACUUUGAAAAGAGAGUUAAACAGUACGUGAAAUUGUCAAAAGGGAAGCGUUUGACACCAGUGUUGUUUUUCCGAAAAUCAAUUACGAAUGGCUUGAUUUUGUGUUGUAUUGACCUUAUCAGCUUUCUUCACUUUUUUCGAGUCUUUCUUAAUGCACUUUUCGGUUAACAAGUCAACAUCAAUUUCUUUUGUUGUAAAAGAGUAUUCGGAAGGUGGCUUUCUUUUCGGAGAAAGUGUUUAUAGCCUUGUGCCUCUGCAAUCGGAGAGAUUGAGGUCUGCAGCGUAGAUCCUUCGGGGUUAGAUACGUUUGUGCUAAGUUAUAGCUUUUCAUAGACAACUUGUUGACUAUGUUUAGUCUUGUAGCUUACUCGCUGACGCUAUUUUACCUACGCUUAGGAUGUUGACUGAUAUGUAGUCGUA